GAUGAACGCUAGCUACAGGCUUAACACAUGCAAGUCGAGGGGCAGCAUUUUAGUUUGCUUGCAAACUGAAGAUGGCGACCGGCGCACGGGUGAGUAACACGUAUCCAACCUGCCGAUAACUCCGGGAUAGCCUUUCGAAAGAAAGAUUAAUACCGGAUAGUAUACGAAUAUCGCAUGAUAUUUUUAUUAAAGAAUUUCGGUUAUCGAUGGGGAUGCGUUCCAUUAGUUUGUUGGCGGGGUAACGGCCCACCAAGACUACGAUGGAUAGGGGUUCUGAGAGGAAGGUCCCCCACAUUGGAACUGAGACACGGUCCAAACUCCUACGGGAGGCAGCAGUGAGGAAUAUUGGUCAAUGGGCGCGAGCCUGAACCAGCCAAGUAGCGUGAAGGAUGAAGGCUCUAUGGGUCGUAAACUUCUUUUAUAUGGGAAUAAAGUUUUCCACGUGUGGAAUUUUGUAUGUACCAUAUGAAUAAGGAUCGGCUAACCCCGUGCCAGCAGCCGCGGUAAUACGGAGGAUCCGAGCGUUAUCCGGAUUUAUUGGGUUUAAAGGGAGCGUAGGUGGAUUGUUAAGUCAGUUGUGAAAGUUUGCGGCUCAACCGUAAAAUUGCAGUUGAAACUGGCAGUCUUGAGUACAGUAGAGGUGGGCGGAAUUCGUGGUGUAGCGGUGAAAUGCUUAGAUAUCACGAAGAACUCCGAUUGCGAAGGCAGCUCACUAGACUGUCACUGACACUGAUGCUCGAAAGUGUGGGUAUCAAACAGGAUUAGAUACCCUGGUAGUCCACACAGUAAACGAUGAAUACUCGCUGUUUGCGAUAUACAGUAAGCGGCCAAGCGAAAGCAUUAAGUAUUCCACCUGGGGAGUACGCCGGCAACGGUGAAACUCAAAGGAAUUGACGGGGGCCCGCACAAGCGGAGGAACAUGUGGUUUAAUUCGAUGAUACGCGAGGAACCUUACCCGGGCUUAAAUUGCAACAGAAUAUAUUGGAAACAGUAUAGCCGUAAGGCUGUUGUGAAGGUGCUGCAUGGUUGUCGUCAGCUCGUGCCGUGAGGUGUCGGCUUAAGUGCCAUAACGAGCGCAACCCUUAUCUUUAGUUACUAACAGGUGAUGCUGAGGACUCUAGAGAGACUGCCGUCGUAAGAUGUGAGGAAGGUGGGGAUGACGUCAAAUCAGCACGGCCCUUACGUCCGGGGCUACACACGUGUUACAAUGGGGGGUACAGAAGGCGGCUACCUGGUGACAGGAUGCUAAUCCCAAAAACCUCUCUCAGUUCGGAUCGAAGUCUGCAACCCGACUUCGUGAAGCUGGAUUCGCUAGUAAUCGCGCAUCAGCCAUGGCGCGGUGAAUACGUUUCCCGGGCCU
RNAcentral lists this ribosomal RNA (1360 nucleotides) under uncultured bacterium. Its description in RNAcentral is "bacterial SSU rRNA". It matches the Rfam family "Bacterial small subunit ribosomal RNA", at positions 28 to 1381 of the family's 1533-position model. The record is from RNAcentral.